RNAcentral lists this ribosomal RNA (482 nucleotides) under uncultured bacterium. Its description in RNAcentral is "partial 16S ribosomal RNA". It matches the Rfam family "Bacterial small subunit ribosomal RNA", at positions 30 to 507 of the family's 1533-position model. The record is from RNAcentral.
AUUGAACGCUGGCGGCAUGCUUUACACAUGCAAGUCGAACGGUAACAGGCCGCAAGGUGCUGACGAGUGGCGAACGGGUGAGUAAUGCAUCGGAACGUGCCCAGUCGUGGGGGAUAACUACUCGAAAGAGUAGCUAAUACCGCAUACGAUCUAUGGAUGAAAGCGGGGGACCGUAAGGCCUCGCGCGGUUGGAGCGGCCGAUGUCAGAUUAGGUAGUUGGUGGGGUAAAGGCUCACCAAGCCAACGAUCUGUAGCGGGUCUGAGAGGACGACCAGCCACACUGGGACUGAGACACGGCCCAGACUCCUACGGGAGGCAGCAGUGGGGAAUUUUGGACAAUGGGCGCAAGCCUGAUCCAGCAAUGCCGCGUGCAGGAAGAAGGCCUUCGGGUUGUAAACUGCUUUUGUACGGAACGAAACGGCUCUGGUUAAUACCCGGGGCUAAUGACGGUACCGUAAGAAUAAGCACCGGCUAACUACGUG